AUUCCCGUCUCUUGAAUUUUUAGGAAACUUCGUCAAGCAUCACAUGAUUUGGAUCUGUUACUCAAGUAGCCUCGGUCAUAGACAACUAGGUGUCACUGUUGAGUACCCAACUCGUGUCGGCUGUCCCAGCUAGUUUGUGUUAUCCGAUCCUCAUCGAGAUUCAUAGUAAGAGCAACUCCAACCCACCUCCCUUCCGACCUCCUAUUCUGCAUUUAGGAGAAAGAAACAGAAAAAACACCUCCAACCCACCUCUCAUCCCGUUCCUAGCGAUAGGAGAGCUCUCAUCCGACGGGCUCCUACAUCUAGGAGCCCCAGUCUGGACUCUCAUCCAAGGCGAGGAGCAACGGCCGCUCCCUUCCCGCAUCGGCACGGACGCCUCUUUCGCCCGGUACGCCUCCUCUCCUGUCGUAGGAAGUGGAUCUCGAGCAGAGGGCCGGCGGUGGCGGUGGCGGCGGCCAGCUGGAUUUGCGACCCUGGCGGCCAAUUGAUGUGCUACUCUUGAAAGGGGAGGGGAGCAAGCCGGGCUCGUGGCCGCUACCUGCUGUGCCACUCGAGGAAGGGGAGGGAGGUCAGGGAGGGGAGCAAGCAAGGCUCGACCUCCGCCUGCUGUGCUUGAAUAGAGAAAGGGAGAUGGAAGGGGAGGGAGGUCGGGGAGGGGAGGAAGUAAGGUUCAGCCGCCGCCGUUGCGCUGCUCGUCCGGCUGCUGUGCUUGAACAGAGAGAGGAUAUGCUUGUAGUUUAAUUCUAAUUAUCCUGGUAUUGUAUGGACUUGUAGUUUAAUUGAGUUAUCCUGGUAUUGUUUGGACCUGUAGUUUAAUUUAAUGAUAUUGGUAUUGUAUGGACUUGUAGUUUAA
Molecule: long non-coding RNA, 853 nt
Organism: Panicum virgatum (switchgrass)
Lineage: Eukaryota; Viridiplantae; Streptophyta; Magnoliopsida; Poales; Poaceae
Exons: 2
Source: RefSeq, a predicted model, not a curated record